GCAGCCGCGGUAAUUCCAGCUCCAAUAGCGUAUAUUAAAGUUGUUGCAGUUAAAAAGCUCGUAGUUGAAUUUUGGGUUUGGCCGAUUGGUCCGUUCUUGUAACGAGUACUGGUCGGUCGGGCCUCACCGCCUGGUGAUACGUAAUGCCCUUUAUUGGGUGUUGCGAGUAGCCAGGACCUUUACCUUGAAAAAAUUAGAGUGUUUAAAGCAGGCUUAUGCCGGAAUACAUUAGCAUGGAAUAAUAGAAUAGGACGAUGAUUCUAUUUUGUUGGUUUCUAGGAGCAUCGUAAUGAUUAAUAGGGAUAGUUGGGGGCAUUAGUAUUCAAUUGUCAGAGGUGAAAUUCUUGGAUUUAUUGAAGACUAACUACUGCGAAAGCAUUUGCCAAGGAUGUUUUCAUUAAUCAAGAACGAAAGUUAGGGGAUCGAAGACGAUCAGAUACCGUCGUAGUCUUAACCAUAAACUAUGCCGACUAGGGAUCGGGCGAUGUUGUUUCAAUGACUCGCUCGGCACCUUAUGGG
Molecule: ribosomal RNA, 519 nt
Filed under: uncultured Glomeromycotina
Lineage: Eukaryota; Fungi; Glomeromycota
Description: SSU rRNA
Rfam family: Eukaryotic small subunit ribosomal RNA
Source: RNAcentral